This 59-nucleotide microRNA precursor is filed under the name Macaca mulatta (Rhesus monkey). RNAcentral's name for it is "Mml-Mir-504-v1_pre stem-loop". It matches the Rfam family "mir-504 microRNA precursor family", at positions 11 to 69 of the family's 78-position model. Lineage: Eukaryota; Metazoa; Chordata; Mammalia; Primates; Cercopithecidae. The record is from RNAcentral.
AGACCCUGGUCUGCACUCUAUCUGUAUUCUUACUGAAGGGAGCGCAGGGCAGGGUUUCC